This 241-nucleotide ribosomal RNA is filed under the name uncultured bacterium. RNAcentral's name for it is "partial 16S ribosomal RNA". It matches the Rfam family "Bacterial small subunit ribosomal RNA", at positions 93 to 334 of the family's 1533-position model. The record is from RNAcentral.
AAGCGGCGGACGGGUGAGUAACGCGUGGGUAACCUACCCUGUACACACGGAUAACAUACCGAAAGGUAUGCUAAUACGGGAUAAUAUAUUUGAGAGGCAUCUCUUAAAUAUCAAAGGUGAGCCAGUACAGGAUGGACCCGCGUCUGAUUAGCUAGUUGGUAAGGUAACGGCUUACCAAGGCGACGAUCAGUAGCCGACCUGAGAGGGUGAUCGGCCACAUUGGAACUGAGACACGGUCCAA